UACGGGGGAUGCAAGCGUUAUCCGGAUUUAUUGGGUUUAAAGGGUGCGUAGGCUGUGAGGUAAGUCAGCGGUGAAAUGCCCCCGCUCAACGGGGUGAAGUGCCAUUGAUACUGCCUUGCUGGAAUGCGGAUGCCGUGGGAGGAAUGUGUGGUGUAGCGGUGAAAUGCAUAGAUAUCACACAGAACACCGAUUGCGAAGGCAUCUCACGAAUCCGCUAUUGACGCUGAUGCACGAAGGCGUGGGUAUCAAACAGG
RNAcentral lists this ribosomal RNA (254 nucleotides) under uncultured bacterium. RNAcentral's name for it is "partial 16S ribosomal RNA". It matches the Rfam family "Bacterial small subunit ribosomal RNA", at positions 524 to 776 of the family's 1533-position model. The record is from RNAcentral.